CCUACGGGAGGCAGCAGUGGGGAAUAUUGGACAAUGGGCGAAAGCCUGAUCCAGCCAUGCCGCGUGUGUGAAGAAGGCCUUCGGGUUGUAAAGCACUUUCAGUGGGGAAGAAAGCCUUGGGGCUAAUACCCUCGAGGAAGGACAUCACCCACAGAAGAAGCACCGGCUAACUCCGUGCCAGCAGCCGCGGUAAUACGGAGGGUGCGAGCGUUAAUCGGAAUUACUGGGCGUAAAGCGCGCGUAGGCGGUCUGAUAAGCCGGUUGUGAAAGCCCCGGGCUCAACCUGGGAACGGCAUCCGGAACUGUCAGGCUAGAGUGCAGGAGAGGGAGGUAGAAUUCCCGGUGUAGCGGUGAAAUGCGUAGAGAUCGGGAGGAAUACCAGUGGCGAAGGCGGCCUUCUGGACUGACACUGACGCUGAGGUGCGAAAGCGUGGGUAGCAAACAGGAUUAGAUACCCGAGUAGUC
RNAcentral lists this ribosomal RNA (465 nucleotides) under Vreelandella stevensii. Its description in RNAcentral is "partial 16S ribosomal RNA". It matches the Rfam family "Bacterial small subunit ribosomal RNA", at positions 338 to 795 of the family's 1533-position model. Lineage: Bacteria; Pseudomonadati; Pseudomonadota; Gammaproteobacteria; Oceanospirillales; Halomonadaceae. The record is from RNAcentral.